Molecule: ribosomal RNA, 533 nt
Filed under: uncultured Bacteroidota bacterium
Lineage: Bacteria; Pseudomonadati; Bacteroidota
Description: SSU rRNA
Rfam family: Bacterial small subunit ribosomal RNA
Source: RNAcentral
CAGGUAGUUGGUGAGGGUAACGGCCCACCAAGCCUACGAUCAGUAACUGGUGUGAGAGCACGACCAGUCACACGGGCACUGAGACACGGGCCCGACUCCUACGGGAGGCAGCAGUAAGGAAUAUUGGUCAAUGGACGCAAGUCUGAACCAGCCAUGCCGCGUGGAGGAUGAAGGUCCUCUGGAUUGUAAACUUCUUUUAUCUGGGACGAAAAAGGGUCUUUCUAGAUCAACUGACGGUACCAGAUGAAUAAGCACCGGCUAACUCCGUGCCAGCAGCCGCGGUAAUACGGAGGGUGCAAGCGUUAUCCGGAUUCACUGGGUUUAAAGGGUGCGUAGGCGGAUAUGUAAGUCCGUGGUGAAAUCUCUGGGCUUAACCCGGAAACUGCCAUGGAUACUAUGUGUCUUGAAUGUUGUUGAGGUGAGCGGAAUAUGUCAUGUAGCGGUGAAGUGCUUAGAUAUGACAUAGAACACCAAUUGCGAAGGCAGCUCACUAAGCAAAUAUUGACGCUGAGGCACGAAAGCGUGGGGAUCAA